RNAcentral lists this unclassified non-coding RNA (228 nucleotides) under Mycobacteroides abscessus. RNAcentral's name for it is "partial 16S-23S ribosomal RNA intergenic spacer". The record is from RNAcentral. Lineage: Bacteria; Bacillati; Actinomycetota; Actinomycetes; Mycobacteriales; Mycobacteriaceae.
UYSAKCACUMUGAGUACAUAUAGUAGGCAUCUGUAGUGGGUAUCUACUUGGUGAAUAUGUUUUGUAAAUCCUGUCCACCCCCGUGGAUGGGUAGUCGGCAAAACGUCGGACUGUCAUAAGAAUUGAAACGCUGGCACACUGUUGGGUCCUGAGGCAACACGUUGUGUUGUCACCCUGCUUGGUGGUGGGGUGUGGACUUUGACUUCUGAAUAGUGGUUGMRARCAUMC